UACGUAGGGUGCAAGCGUUAAUCGGAAUUACUGGGCGUAAAGGGCUCGUAGGUGGCCAACUAAGUCGGACGUGAAGUCCCUCAGCUUAACUGGGGAACUGCGUCCGAUACUGGAUGGCUUGAGUUUGGGAGAGGGAUGCGGAAUUCCAGGUGUAGCGGUGAAAUGCGUAGAUAUCUGGAGGAACACCGGUGGCGAAGGCGGCAUCCUGGACCAACACUGACACUGAGGAGCGAAAGCCAGGGGAGCAAACGGU
RNAcentral lists this ribosomal RNA (253 nucleotides) under uncultured bacterium. RNAcentral's name for it is "partial 16S ribosomal RNA". It matches the Rfam family "Bacterial small subunit ribosomal RNA", at positions 524 to 776 of the family's 1533-position model. The record is from RNAcentral.